RNAcentral lists this long non-coding RNA (1113 nucleotides) under Bos grunniens (domestic yak). Its description in RNAcentral is "lncRNA (ENSBGRG00000019675.1)". The record is from RNAcentral. Lineage: Eukaryota; Metazoa; Chordata; Mammalia; Artiodactyla; Bovidae.
AUGGAGACGGGACUGCCGGUCGUCGGGUGUCCUGGAAGCCGAAUGCGAAUGCGGAGGGGCUCGCGGGCCGCGCGGAGGCAACCCAGGUCGGGCCAACGGGCCGCACCUCUCGUCACGGGGCGUGCUGUACUUGAGCCGCACGACCCGCGACCGGACUCCAGCCUGCUGACGCCGGCCCGCCCCCCGAACACCGCCAACACCAGACCAGCAAGCGCCUGGCCGGGCCCGGGGCCCGAGGGGCUUCCAGGACGCCCCAUUGACCGGGAGGGCGUGCGUGCAUGCGCGCGCGGGGCCUGGGGCUGGGCUGAGGGUGCGGAGGUCUCGGCGCCUCCCACCCGCGGCCACUCCAGACCCGCCGCCGCUGAGCGGGGCCUCCCCCGGAUCCCAUUCGCUGCUCAGGCCCGCGCGGCCCCGGACGUGUCGGUCUUCGGCGCCCGCCGCCUCCCAACCCCCGCGGCCCAGGGGCCUCUGAACCUCCUGCGGGCCUAGGCGCAGCGAAACUUGAGCGCCCAACUUGCCCGGCACCUGUCCGGUGCCCAAACCCACCAGAAGCCAGGGAGGCGCGGUCGACCGGAGCGCCUCAGCCCCUCCCCUUCGCACUACCGAGGCCCCCCUUUGCCCCCACGCCAAGCCCUCGACCUUCCUGAGAGAGCAGACGAGCCACAGGCAGGCACACAGACAGACACACAGACACUCGCACGCACCCACGCCAAGGGAGACAGCUGGCUCAUGCAAGCUCCUCAGCCAGAGCCAGAGCGCCUGGGAGAGGCCGGGGCCAGACGAAUGGGCCGGCGGCUGGCUGUCAGGAGAUACAGAGGCAGAAAUACAUGAAGAUUCCGAGACAGACUCCAAGACGGCAAGAGGAGAUACACACACACACACACACGCACACACACACACACUUGAGUGUGGUCUUUGGAAAUACUUGUGUUCGUAGUUGCUGGGUUGAGCCCAACUUUGAUACAACCCAUGGACUGUGGCCCAUCAGGCUCCUCUGUCCGUGGCAUUUCCCAGGCGAGGAUACUGGGAGUGGGUUGCCAUUUCCUUCUCUGGGGGGAUCUUCCCACCCAGGAUCAAACCCCAGUCUCCUGCGCUGGAUGCCUUGCCAUCUGA